Ornithodoros turicata is the source of this 1098-nucleotide long non-coding RNA. RefSeq lists it as uncharacterized. The record is from RefSeq and is a predicted model, not a curated record. The transcript has 3 exons. Lineage: Eukaryota; Metazoa; Arthropoda; Arachnida; Ixodida; Argasidae.
CUUGUGUGAUUCCCGGCUUACCCUGCCUUUUUCGGGUCAUUGGGUUGGUGUGGAGUUGUUCGCCAUAUUUUUAACGUUUCACCUAUCAUUGCAGCGCACUGUUAUUGAUCUGCUGCGAAGCAACGAACCGCAACGGCAGUUACUCGCCUCAGUGAAAUUCUGUCUGCUGCAUAUCCAAGGCUCAUCGGGACCUUAUGAUGUACUGCAAAUGCUGAAGUUGAAUUCUUCAUCUAAAGAAAACAAGUGUGUUCUCGUGUGGUUCUGACGGAAAAGCAGUUUCAACAAGAACCCUCCGCUUCUUGAACCCAGUUAUACUUUACGUAACCCUUCUGAUGGCUCCUUACUCGGCUGUGCCGCUCUGAAGCAUUGAGAUGACGAAAGGUCGUGGGUGCUGCACCUCUGCUUUCGAAAGAUGAAUCAGUCAUUCCACACUGUACUUACUGGCUUUGUAUCGAGUCUGACAAAUCCGACAGACCUGGACUGCCUUUUUCAAGGAAGUUCGAUAAUAGCAUCCCUGAUGCAUCUGCAUUUCAAUUAGGAUCUGCGUUACAAGAAUGACGGACCACUCAACAGCGAUGAACAUUUGAAGGUGGAAGUGCUGGAACAAAGAUGCGUUAAUCUGUGUCAAAGGUGCUUUGAAAGGGCAUAGGUCACAAGCUAAUUUCUGCCUGCAGAAGAGGCAUCAACUAUGCUCCUUCUAUCUAUACUAACCAGCUCCACUUUUUAGGGUUCCCUGUAAACUAAUGGAGCACAUCAUAUACCAGCACUUUGUUAACCAUGUUGAGUCUAUCAAUUUCUUUUUUAAAUUCUAGCAUGGCUGUAGAAAAGGGUAUUUACGCAUAACUAAGAAAAUUCGGUCACAGCAUUUUAAACUGUCUUGAUUUCUGGGUCCACGUAGAUGCAGUACUUUUAUUUUGUAAGGGCUUUUGACAGUGUGCUUUAUGCUCGCGUGUUGGCCAGACUAGCCUCAUUAAAAUUUGAUCCUGCUACCAUUAACUGGAUAUGCAGUUUCUUGACUAACCGCAACCGUGCCAACAAUUCACUUGGCAAUAUCCUAUCAUAUCGCCUGUCAUACCUAUCACAGGAGAGAACCUAUCA